This 274-nucleotide ribosomal RNA is filed under the name uncultured bacterium. Its description in RNAcentral is "partial 16S ribosomal RNA". It matches the Rfam family "Bacterial small subunit ribosomal RNA", at positions 523 to 796 of the family's 1533-position model. The record is from RNAcentral.
AGACAGAGGGUGCAAACGUUGCUCGGAAUUACUGGGCGUAAAGCGCACGUAGGCGGAAUGUUAAGUUAGAGGUGAAAUCCCAGGGCUCAACCCUGGAACUGCCUUUAAUACUGGCAAUCUAGAGACCGAGAGAGGUGAGUGGAAUUCCGAGUGUAGAGGUGAAAUUCGUAGAUAUUCGGAGGAACACCAGUGGCGAAGGCGGCUCACUGGCUCGGUACUGACGCUGAGGUGCGAAAGCGUGGGGAGCAAACAGAAUUAGAAACCCCAGUAGUCC